GAUGAACGCUGGCGGCGUGCCUAAUACAUGCAAGUCGAGCGAACAGAUGAGGAGCUUGCUCCUCUGACGUUAGCGGCGGACGGGUGAGUAACACGUGGAUAACCUACCUAUAAGACUGGGAUAACUUCGGGAAACCGGAGCUAAUACCGGAUAAUAUAUUGAACCGCAUGGUUCAAUAGUGAAAGACGGUUUUGCUGUCACUUAUAGAUGGAUCGGCGCCGCAUUAGCUAGUUGGUAAGGUAACGGCUUACCAAGGCGACGAUGCGUAGCCGACCUGAGAGGGUGAUCGGCCACACUGGAACUGAGACACGGUCCAGACUCCUACGGGAGGCAGCAGUAGGGAAUCUUCCGCAAUGGGCGAAAGCCUGACGGAGCAACGCCGCGUGAGUGAUGAAGGUCUUCGGAUCGUAAAACUCUGUUAUUAGGGAAGAACAAAUGUGUAAGUAACUAUGCACGUCUUGACGGUACCUAAUCAGAAAGCCACGGCUAACUACGUG
This 497-nucleotide ribosomal RNA is filed under the name uncultured bacterium. RNAcentral's name for it is "partial 16S ribosomal RNA". It matches the Rfam family "Bacterial small subunit ribosomal RNA", at positions 28 to 507 of the family's 1533-position model. The record is from RNAcentral.